UCGGGAAUUUUGGGCAAUGGGGGAAACCCUGACCCAGCAACGCCGCGUGAAGGAUGAAGUAUUUCGGUAUGUAAACUUCGAAAGAAUAGGAAGAAUAAAUGACGGUACUAUUUAUAAGGUCCGGCUAACUACGUGCCAGCAGCCGCGGUAAUACGUAGGGACCAAGCGUUGUUCGGAUUUACUGGGCGUAAAGGGCGCGUAGGCGGCAUGACAAGUCACUUGUGAAAUCUCUGGGCUUAACCCAGAACGGCCAAGUGAUACUGUCGCGCUAGAGUGCAGAAGGGGCAAUCGGAAUUCUUGGUGUAGCGGUGAAAUGCGUAGAUAUCAAGAGGAACACC
This 338-nucleotide ribosomal RNA is filed under the name uncultured bacterium. RNAcentral describes it as "bacterial SSU rRNA". It matches the Rfam family "Bacterial small subunit ribosomal RNA", at positions 355 to 710 of the family's 1533-position model. The record is from RNAcentral.